GCGGGCCGUUCGCCGAGGUUCUCGUCGGCCAGCUGCACUCCGGUCUGCAGGUGUUCCAUCUGCGCCAUGUUGGUGCGGGCCCAGCCGGCGUACUC
RNAcentral lists this transfer RNA (95 nucleotides) under Mycolicibacterium poriferae. RNAcentral's name for it is "tRNA-Cys". The record is from RNAcentral. Lineage: Bacteria; Bacillati; Actinomycetota; Actinomycetes; Mycobacteriales; Mycobacteriaceae.